UACGUAGGGUGCAAGCGUUGUCCGGAAUUACUGGGCGUAAAGGGCUCGUAGGCGGCCAACUAAGUCGGACGUGAAAUCCCCAGGCUCAACCUGGGAACUGCGUCCGAUACUGGAUGGCUUGAAUCCGGGAGAGGGAUGCAGAAUUCCAGGUGUAGCGGUGAAAUGCGUAGAUAUCUGGAGGAAUACCGGUGGCGAAGGCGGCAUCCUGGACCGAGAUUGACGCUGAGGAGCGAAAGCUAGGGGAGCAAACGGG
RNAcentral lists this ribosomal RNA (253 nucleotides) under uncultured bacterium. RNAcentral describes it as "partial 16S ribosomal RNA". It matches the Rfam family "Bacterial small subunit ribosomal RNA", at positions 524 to 776 of the family's 1533-position model. The record is from RNAcentral.